RNAcentral lists this ribosomal RNA (253 nucleotides) under uncultured bacterium. RNAcentral describes it as "partial 16S ribosomal RNA". It matches the Rfam family "Bacterial small subunit ribosomal RNA", at positions 524 to 776 of the family's 1533-position model. The record is from RNAcentral.
UACGUAGGGUGCGAGCGUUGUCCGGAAUUAUUGGGCGUAAAGGGCUCGUAGGCGGUUUGUCGCGUCGGGAGUGAAAACCCAGGGCUUAACCCUGGGCUGGCUUCCGAUACGGGCAGACUAGAGGUAUGCAGGGGAGAACGGAAUUCCUGGUGUAGCGGUGAAAUGCGCAGAUAUCAGGAAGAACACCAACGGCGAAGGCAGCUCGCUGGGACGGUACUGACGCUGAGACGCGAAAGCGUGGGGAGCGAACAGG